Molecule: transfer RNA, 71 nt
Filed under: Camelus ferus (Wild Bactrian camel)
Lineage: Eukaryota; Metazoa; Chordata; Mammalia; Artiodactyla; Camelidae
Rfam family: tRNA
About the family: Transfer RNA (tRNA) molecules are approximately 80 nucleotides in length. Their secondary structure includes four short double-helical elements and three loops (D, anti-codon, and T loops).
Source: Rfam by way of RNAcentral
GAAGUUAUAGCUCAGUGGUAGAGCUUGUGCCUAGCAUGCACGAGGUCCUAGGUUCAACCCCCGUACCUCCA